Molecule: ribosomal RNA, 575 nt
Filed under: Salmonella enterica
Lineage: Bacteria; Pseudomonadati; Pseudomonadota; Gammaproteobacteria; Enterobacterales; Enterobacteriaceae
Also listed under: 1 other name
Description: partial 23S ribosomal RNA
Rfam family: Bacterial large subunit ribosomal RNA
Source: RNAcentral
CUGUGUGUUGUUGGGUAGGGGAGCGUUCUGUAAGCCUGUGAAGGUGUGUCGUGAGGCAUGCUGGAGGUAUCAGAAGUGCGAAUGCUGACAUAAGUAACGAUAAAGCGGGUGAAAAGCCCGCUCGCCGGAAGACCAAGGGUUCCUGUCCAACGUUAAUCGGGGCAGGGUGAGUCGACCCCUAAGGCGAGGCCGAAAGGCGUAGUCGAUGGGAAACGGGUUAAUAUUCCCGUACUUGGUGUUACUGCGAAGGGGGGACGGAGAAGGCUAUGUUGGCCGGGCGACGGUUGUCCCGGUUUAAGCGUGUAGGUGUGUGUUCCAGGUAAAUCCGGUUCACUUUAACACUGAGGCGUGACGACGAGGCACUACGGUGCUGAAGCAACAAAUGCCCUGCUUCCAGGAAAAGCCUCUAAGCAUCAGGUAACAUCAAAUCGUACCCCAAACCGACACAGGUGGUCAGGUAGAGAAUACCAAGGCGCUUGAGAGAACUCGGGUGAAGGAACUAGGCAAAAUGGUGCCGUAACUUCGGGAGAAGGCACGCUGACACGUAGGUGAAGUGAUUUACUCAUGGAGCUGAA